Molecule: long non-coding RNA, 1239 nt
Filed under: Oryctolagus cuniculus (rabbit)
Lineage: Eukaryota; Metazoa; Chordata; Mammalia; Lagomorpha; Leporidae
Description: lncRNA (ENSOCUG00000037676.1)
Source: RNAcentral
AAAAAAAAAAAAAAAAAAAACAGUACCUCUGGACCCCCAAAAAUCUGUGGGAAGAAAACAUCCUGAGAAGGUUAUUCGGUGCAAACACCAGCCAUUUUUCAACAGAGAAGGAUUUAGAAGAUGAACAGAGCCAAGAGCCACGGAGAAUCAUUCCCAGGCAGUAGGAUUGAGCCCUAGUCAAGAAAUUGAUGCUGUGUGCCUGGAUAGAUUUCAGAACUGCUACGGACCAGUGACUGCCAUGUGCCUCCUGCACGGCGUGUUAGCAUGUGUUAGAUAGUGGCUAUCCUAUGCCCGUCCCAUCGCUGUAGGUUGCGUGGGGACAGAGCAGAUAACGCAUCCCUUCAGUUCACAGAGCUUUAGACAAAGGGGAGUAGAACUCUGGGCACCUGCACAUGAGGACCCUCCUCUGUCCCUGGACGGCUUAGCUGAUGGCAUCCAAGCCCUCUUGCCAGCACCUGAUGCCACCAGGCAUGAGACUUGGGGGUCAUUGGAUGGGAGUUGGGGGUAUUUUGCAUGUGAAAAGAAUAUGAAUGAGAGUAAACUAUGGUGGCUGUAGGCAUGGUGUAGGUUUGUAGUCAAGAAAUAAAUUGAUACCCUGUAAUUGCCUCACCAAACCAAGGCUGGGCCAGGAAAGGUGACACAGCUGUGCCCUGCUCUCUCUCAGGAUACACACUGAGUUGUGGCAUAAAAAAUUCACCUGUUCUAGGGUGGCCACGUGCGCAAGCUGGUGGAGGGAAGCCGCCCAGAGCCAGGAGCAGACUUGUGAGUGAGGAACCCUGAAGACCCCAUCCUCAUGAGACCCCACAGAAACCAUGAAUGUGAAAACCAUUUCCUGCUCGCUGUGGACCAGGUCCAGAGGCUGCGCCCGAGGCUCCCACGCCAACCGUCCAGUGUCCUUGGCCGAGGGCAGGGAUCUCGCCGCCUUUCCCCCUUCCUCAGCCAAACCCUCACACUCCCGCAGCCGAAUCGCCGGAGGCCGGGAAAGACCCUCGCCUGUCCCUUGCAGCAAGAGUGACAGACCUGGGCAGAGGCCACGUUCGUCCCCACAGACAGCCUCGCUUCCCUGCUCCACUUGCCUUUCCCCAGGGCAGCUCCGGGCCGGGCCUGCAUGGGAGCCAGCCCCCACUACCCACCAGAACCAGCAGCCCCCAGAGAGCUGACAGGGACCUGCAGGAGCGGGCGCUUCGUGGUGCCCGGCAAAAGCCUCCUGGGCAGAGGACACAAACAUACUGAGGACAG